UNCAUGUGUAGCGGUGAAAUGCGUAGAUAUAUGGAGGANCACCAGUGGCGAAAGCGGCUCUCUGGUCUGUCACUGACGCUGAGGCUCGAAAGCGUGGGUAGCGAACAGGAUUAGAUACCCUGGUAGUCCACGCCGUAAACGAUGAGUGCUAGGUGUUAGGCCCUUUCCGGGGCUUAGUGCCGGAGCUAACGCAAUAAGCACUCCGCCUGGGGAGUACGACCGCAAGGUUGAAACUCAAAGGAAUUGAUGGGGGCCCGCACAAGCGGUGGAGCAUGUGGUUUAAUUCGAAGCAACGCGAAGAACCUUACCAGGUCUUGACAUCCCGAUGCUAUUCUUAGAGAUAGGAAGUUACUUCGGUACAUCGGAGACAGGUGGUGCAUGGUUGUCGUCAGCUCGUGUCGUGAGAUGUUGGGUUAAGUCCCGCAACGAGCGCAACCCUUAUUGUUAGUUGCCAUCAUUAAGUUGGGCACUCUAGCGAGACUGCCGGUAAUAAACCGGAGGAAGGUGGGGAUGACGUCAAAUCAUCAUGCCCCUUAUGACCUGGGCUACACACGUGCUACAAUGGUCGGUACAACGAGUUGCGAGCCGGUGACGGCAAGCUAAUCUCUGAAAGCCGAUCUCAGUUCGGAUUGGAGGCUGCAACUCGCCUCCAUGAAGUCGGAAUCGCUAGUAAUCGCGGAUCAGCACGCCGCGGUGAAUACGUUCCCGGGCCUUGUACACACCGCCCGUCACACCACGAGAGUUUGUAACACCCGA
Molecule: ribosomal RNA, 756 nt
Filed under: uncultured bacterium
Lineage: Bacteria
Description: bacterial SSU rRNA
Rfam family: Bacterial small subunit ribosomal RNA
Source: RNAcentral